This 84-nucleotide microRNA precursor is filed under the name Ornithorhynchus anatinus (platypus). RNAcentral's name for it is "microRNA oan-mir-1422e precursor". It matches the Rfam family "mir-1422 microRNA precursor family". The record is from miRBase by way of RNAcentral. Lineage: Eukaryota; Metazoa; Chordata; Mammalia; Monotremata; Ornithorhynchidae.
CAUGAUUCUAGUUUAAGUCAUGAAAAGGUUUUUUUCAGUGUGCAUAAUCUGGAAAACCUUAUCAUGGCUAAUACCAUGACCAUG